GCCCGAUUAGCUCAGUAGGUAGGGCGUGGGACUUUUAAUCCUAAGGUAAAUGGUUCAACUCCCUUAGCGGGCG
RNAcentral lists this transfer RNA (73 nucleotides) under Saccoglossus kowalevskii. RNAcentral's name for it is "tRNA-Lys". It matches the Rfam family "tRNA". Rfam says of the family: Transfer RNA (tRNA) molecules are approximately 80 nucleotides in length. Their secondary structure includes four short double-helical elements and three loops (D, anti-codon, and T loops). Further hydrogen bonds mediate the characteristic L-shaped molecular structure. tRNAs have two regions of fundamental functional importance: the anti-codon, which is responsible for specific mRNA codon recognition, and the 3' end, to which the tRNAs corresponding amino acid is attached (by aminoacyl-tRNA synthetases). tRNAs cope with the degeneracy of the genetic code in two manners: having more than one tRNA (with a specific anti-codon) for a particular amino acid; and 'wobble' base-pairing, i.e. permitting non-standard base-pairing at the 3rd anti-codon position. Lineage: Eukaryota; Metazoa; Hemichordata; Enteropneusta; Harrimaniidae. The record is from RNAcentral.